UUUUGACAAUACAUUGCACAAAUAUCGGGUAAAUGUACCAUUUAGUCGUGUUAAAUUACUGAAAUCUUCACAAUUCUAGCAUUUUAGUUAAAUUUUAGACGGUUUUCGUAUAAAACAAAAGUGGCCGCAUUCGUGUUCAUCCUUAAUAUUGAAAUGCAAGUUGUAUUUUAUGAUAAUACAUACCAUAUAUAAAGGUUGAGGAU
RNAcentral lists this long non-coding RNA (203 nucleotides) under Mytilus galloprovincialis (Mediterranean mussel). The record is from RNAcentral. Lineage: Eukaryota; Metazoa; Mollusca; Bivalvia; Mytilida; Mytilidae.